Molecule: ribosomal RNA, 400 nt
Filed under: uncultured bacterium
Lineage: Bacteria
Description: bacterial SSU rRNA
Rfam family: Bacterial small subunit ribosomal RNA
Source: RNAcentral
UAACGAAUCUUCCGCAAUGCACGAAAGUGUGACGGGGCAAUGCCGCGUGUGGGAUGAAGCCCCUCGGGGUGUAAACCACUGUCAGGGUCUAGGAACACAAUGACCAUACCCAAAGGAAGCACCGGCUAACUCUGUGCCAGCAGCCGCGGUAAUACAGAGGGUGCGAGCGUUAAUCGGAAUCACUGGGCUUAAAGGGUCCGUAGGCGGGACUGCAGGCGUCGAGUGAAAUACCACGGCUCAACCGUGGAACUGCUCGGCGAACCGCAGUUCUUGAGGCGAGUAGAGGCGAUCAGAACGAUAGGUGGAGCGGUGAAAUGCGUAGAUAUCUAUCGGAAUGCCGAAGGUGAAGACAGGUCGCUGGGCUCGUCCUGACGCUGAGGGACGAAAGCGUGGGGAGCAA